Molecule: ribosomal RNA, 253 nt
Filed under: uncultured bacterium
Lineage: Bacteria
Description: partial 16S ribosomal RNA
Rfam family: Bacterial small subunit ribosomal RNA
Source: RNAcentral
UACGGAGGGUGUAAGCGUUAUCCGGAUUCACUGGGUUUAAAGGGUGCGUAGGUGGGCAAGUAAGUCAGUGGUGAAAUCUCCGGGCUUAACCCGGAAACUGCCAUUGAUACUAUUUGUCUUGAAUACUGUGGAGGUCAGCGGAAUAUGUCAUGUAGCGGUGAAAUGCUUAGAUAUGACAUAGAACACCAAUUGCGAAGGCAGCUGGCUACACAAAUAUUGACACUGAGGCACGAAAGCGUGGGGAUCAAACAGG